Molecule: ribosomal RNA, 431 nt
Filed under: uncultured prokaryote
Description: bacterial SSU rRNA
Rfam family: Bacterial small subunit ribosomal RNA
Source: RNAcentral
UCGAGAAUCUUCCGCAAUGGGCGAAAGCCUGACGGAGCGACGCCGCGUGCGGGACGAAGGCCUUUGGGUUGUAAACCGCUGUUGGAGGGGAGCAAGGCGAGAGCUUGAGCGAGCCUCUGAGGAAGCACGGGCUAAGUACGUGCCAGCAGCCGCGGUAACACGUACUGUGCAAACGUUAUUCGGAAUCACUGGGCUUAAAGGGUGCGUAGGCGGCGAAUCCAGUCAGACGUGAAAUCUCGCAGCUCAACUGCGAGGCUGCUUUUGAAACUGAUUCGCUGGAGUGGACCAGGGGCGCUCGGAACUGUCGGUGGAGCGGUGAAAUGCGUUGAGAUCGACAGGAACGCCGGAGGCGAAAGCGGAGCGCUGGGGUCACACUGACGCUGUGGCACGAAAGCCAGGGGAGCGAACGGGAUUAGAUACCCCCGUAGUCC